UGAGGAAUAUUGGUCAAUGGACGAGAGUCUGAACCAGCCAAAUCGCGUGAAGGAAGACUGCCCUACGGGUUGUAAACUUCUUUUGUACAGGAAUAAAAGACAUUACGUGUAAUGUAUUGCAUGUACUGUACGAAUAAGCAUCGGCUAACUCCGUGCCAGCAGCCGCGGUAAUACGGAGGAUGCGAGCGUUAUCCGGAUUUAUUGGGUUUAAAGGGUGCGCAGGCGGGAUUUUAAGUCAGCGGUGAAAUUUUCAGGCUCAACCUGAACACUGCCGUUGAAACUGGGAUUCUUGAGUAUGGAUGAAGUAGGCGGAAUUCGUUGUGUAGCGGUGACAUGCUUAGAUAUAACGAGGAACUCCGAUUGCGUAGGCAGCUUACAAAGCCAUAACUGACGCUCAAGCACGAAAGCGUGGGGAUCAAAC
Molecule: ribosomal RNA, 421 nt
Filed under: uncultured bacterium
Lineage: Bacteria
Description: bacterial SSU rRNA
Rfam family: Bacterial small subunit ribosomal RNA
Source: RNAcentral